RNAcentral lists this ribosomal RNA (433 nucleotides) under uncultured bacterium. Its description in RNAcentral is "partial 16S ribosomal RNA". It matches the Rfam family "Bacterial small subunit ribosomal RNA", at positions 29 to 507 of the family's 1533-position model. The record is from RNAcentral.
AACGAACGCUGGCGGCAUGCCUAACACAUGCAAGUCGAACGAGACCUUCGGGUCUAGUGGCGCACGGGUGCGUAACGCGGGGGAACCUGCCCUUAGGUUCGGAAUAACUCCCCGAAAGGGGUGCUAAUACCGGAUAAUGUCUUCGGACCAAAGAUUUAUCGCCUUUGGAUGGGCCCGGGUUGGAUUAGCUAGUUGGUAGGGUAAAAGCCUACCAAGGCGACGAUCCAUAGCUGGUCUGAGAGGAUGACCAGCCACACUGGGACUGAGACACGGCCCAGACUCCUACGGGAGGCAGCAGUGGGGAAUAUUGGACAAUGGGCGAAAGUCUGAUACAGCAAUGCCGCGUGAGUGAUGAAGGCCUUAGGGUUGUAAAGCUCUUUUACCCGGGAUGAUAAUGACAGUACCGGGAGAAUAAGCACCGGCUAACUCCGUG